This 65-nucleotide transfer RNA is filed under the name Dipodomys ordii (Ord's kangaroo rat). It matches the Rfam family "tRNA". Rfam says of the family: Transfer RNA (tRNA) molecules are approximately 80 nucleotides in length. Their secondary structure includes four short double-helical elements and three loops (D, anti-codon, and T loops). Lineage: Eukaryota; Metazoa; Chordata; Mammalia; Rodentia; Heteromyidae. The record is from Rfam by way of RNAcentral.
GGUGGCUCAAUGAUAGAGCACUUGCCUUGCAUGCAUGAUGCCCUGAGUUCGAUUCUUCAGCACCA